Molecule: ribosomal RNA, 252 nt
Filed under: bacterium
Lineage: Bacteria
Description: partial 16S ribosomal RNA
Source: RNAcentral
AGAAAUGUUCCAAUUGCAUAAAGGACGAUAAUAGAUUUCAUGUUAGUCUGCUUACCGCUCUCGUGCUGAGAAAUUGCGGACAUAACCAAGAAGAAGACCAGUAUCGGUGCAACGGCUUUUAAAGCCCCGACAAAAAGCGAACCUAAAAUGACAAUCGGCUUAGCAGUCUCCGGAAUCGUAAGAGCCAGAAUAAUCCCAAUGAUCAAACCGACGAGAAUUCGUUUGACCAAACUCAUCUGAUUCCACUUUUUG